RNAcentral lists this ribosomal RNA (472 nucleotides) under uncultured bacterium. RNAcentral describes it as "bacterial SSU rRNA". It matches the Rfam family "Bacterial small subunit ribosomal RNA", at positions 355 to 825 of the family's 1533-position model. The record is from RNAcentral.
UCGAGAAUCAUUCGCAAUGGGCGAAAGCCUGACGAUGCGACGCCGUGUGAGCGAAGAAGGCCUUAGGGUCGUAAAGCUCUUUCGCCUGGGAACAAGAGAAGCUAGAUAACACCUAGCUAAUUUGAGGGUACCAGGUAAAGAAGCACCGGCUAACUCCGUGCCAGCAGCUGCGGUAAUACGGAGGGUGCAAGCAUUAAUCGGAUUUAUUGGGCGUAAAGGGCGCGUAGGCGGAAAGACAAGUCAGAUGUGAAAUCCUGGGGCUCAACCUCAGAACUGCAUUUGAAACUAUCAUUCUAGAGGGUAGGAGGAGAAAACGGAAUUCCACAAGUAGCGGUGAAAUGCGUAGAUAUGUGGAAGAACACCGGUGGCGAAGGCGGUUUUCUAUCUUAUUCCUGACGCUGAGGCGCGAAAGCAAGGGGAUCAAACAGGAUUAGAUACCCGUGUACUCCCUGAGCGGGCUGGCAAGGCGCAU